This 72-nucleotide transfer RNA is filed under the name Schistocerca americana (American grasshopper). Its description in RNAcentral is "tRNA-Pro". It matches the Rfam family "tRNA". Rfam says of the family: Transfer RNA (tRNA) molecules are approximately 80 nucleotides in length. The record is from RNAcentral. RNAcentral also lists the same sequence under 1 other name. Lineage: Eukaryota; Metazoa; Arthropoda; Insecta; Orthoptera; Acrididae.
GGCUCGUUGGUCUAGGGGUAUGAUUCCUACUUCGGGUGCAGGAGGUCCCGGGUUCAAAUCCCGGACGAGCCC